Molecule: ribosomal RNA, 497 nt
Filed under: uncultured bacterium
Lineage: Bacteria
Description: partial 16S ribosomal RNA
Rfam family: Bacterial small subunit ribosomal RNA
Source: RNAcentral
GAUGAACGCUGGCGGCGUGCCUAAUACAUGCAAGUCGAGCGAACAGACGAGGAGCUUGCUCCUCUGACGUUAGCGGCGGACGGGUGAGUAACACGUGGAUAACCUACCUAUAAGACUGGGAUAACUUCGGGAAACCGGAGCUAAUACCGGAUAAUAUAUUGAACCGCAUGGUUCAAUAGUUAUAGACGGUUUUUCUGUCCCUUAUAGAUGGAUCCGCGCCUCAUUAGCUAGUUGGUAAGGUAACGGCUUACCAAGGCAACGAUGCGUAGCCGACCUGAGAGGGUGAUCGGCCACACUGGGACUGAGACACGGUCCAGACUCCUACGGGAGGCAGCAGUAGGGAAUCUUCCGCAAUGGGCGAAAGCCUGACGGAGCAACGCCGCGUGAGUGAUGAAGGUCUUCGGAUCGUAAAACUCUGUUAUUAGGGAAGAACAAAUGUGUAAGUAACUAUGCACGUCUUGACGGUACCUAAUCAGAAAGCCACGGCUAACUACGUG